AGUGUUCAGGAAAUGUGUCGAGACACUAGAGCACACAUUCAGAAGGACCCAGGUGUCCUUUUGGCUUAGUAGUACUGAAGAAGUGCUUGAAAAAAUGAAGUUGUUUUUUUUUUUGUUUGUUUCUUCCUCUAUUUUUCUGUUCAUUGCAUUUUAUCCUAGUAUUCUGGAAAAGGCAGGAGAAUCUGUGCCCUCAGUGUGAUUUUUUACCCUGGUAUCAUAAAGUACAUACAUGAAUUAAACCAGUUUAAAAAUAUCCUGUUAUCUGCAAUGACAAAUGUCUAUAUUUAACUCCCUAUCCUCUUUGUCUUAGUUACCAAAACCCAUCUUCACUACUGUCUUGCUGUAACAACACUUUAUAUGAAAUUCCAAUGACUUGCAUCUCAAUGGGGAGUUUUAAUUAGGGACAAAAGUUUUCCAUUUCUGUCUUUCUCACAAUAUUGUCAUACAAGUAGCAGAUAAAAGGUUUAAAUUUUAAUGUGUACUCCAGCAUACACCUUUGAUUUUUAUUCUAAGUACUAUUUGGCAGCCUGCCCUUAUUACUUGUGUUUUACUUUAUUACUAUACAUAAUUUUGAAAAACUGCUUUAAGAGUUGAUACAAAGUCUGGGUGAGAAUAAUCUAGGCAUUUGCUGUUAUAUAUCUUCCGUUAUUAUCUUGUUUCCAACAACUUUGCUCUAUUUGUCAGCUCUCUCACAUUCUAUGAUACCCAGGUUUUUGGAUUGCUUUUUAAUUUAGACAUCAGCUGUAAAUUAAAGCCUGCUACUUCUUACAUUGCUCACUCUGCAGACAUUACUAUCUUAACUUUGUAAAACUCCUCAGAGGAGGGAUCGCCAUAUUAUCUGGACAGUGUUUGGCACAGUGACUUUCUGACUCAUAAUCAGUUUGUCUAUUCUAGAAGAAAAAUUAGCUUAUCCAUAUUUUAUUAUGAGUGAUUUAAAUUUUGUUUUUAUUUGAUCAGGUAGAAACCAAGCAAAACACAGCCUUCCAGCUGUCCUGCGUCAACAGGGUGGCUCUGUUUGCCUGCACUGCAGCGUGACAAUGUGAUUUCAGAGGUCUCAUACAUCUUGGCUUACCCCAUGGAAGCCGCUUUAUCCUUUAGAAAUUAAUUGUUCCACCUCGAAUUUUAUCUGAGGGAAUAGCUGUUGAAACCUGUGGUACCACAGGUGUGGUGUUGUCAGUAGCUGUGCUACCCAGGUACAUCAGCAAAGGUUGAGGCCACACAUCUGGACAGCUGUUCCCUUGGUGCUUAUGUAUGUUUCAGCCUCUGACUUGCUUCCUGUGGGAAUCUUUGUCUCAGAGUGGGGCAGGGAUGGGAGCACGGUGGGGCACAGGGGGAGCCUGGUGCUGCACUGACUGUGCCACAGCGCUUCAGCAGUCAGCUGUGCCUGGCAGGUGGGGCUGUGUGGGCACUCAGCAUCCUCCUGCCCACAGCCUCUUCCCUCUGACUGGCAGUGUCUGAGCCAGGAAUGACUCAACUUUUCUGUAAGAUACCGACAGAAGUCUUGAGCGCUAUUAUUUAAAACUGUAGUAUUUCCAAGCUGAGCUAAGCGGAUGUGUAGCACAUGCCACAGAGCUUCGUCGUCUGUUUGAUGGAGUCGCUUUGCAGAACACUUUAUGUUUUACCACUGCUGCUGGAAAGGAAUGGAUUUUGAGAAUAGACAGAGGAACAACAAGAUUUAGGAAGGGUCCAGAAGCAAAGGAUCCCACAAGACUGGGGGCUCCCCAGGGCAGCAGGACAGGACCUGGCAGCCAAGCCUCAUCCCGUCACCCCAGCCAGGAACGGGGCAACUGUGGGGGACCAGGGCAGCCCCAGGGAUCAGGCACCUUCCAGGAAAGGGAAUGGGCUGUGCUGGGAUCUCAGCCCACAAGGGCUGUCAGGAUCAGGCAGGCUGUGUGGGGGCUGGGGUCAUACAUGGCCCAGGGUUGUUGUGCAGAGCUUCCCCAUGGCGGAGUCUGGGGGCCUCCAUGAGGCCAUGGACAGCAGAGGGGAUGUGCUCUGGGCCCCAUCAGAAGUGUAGAGUAGCUGAAUGCAACAUGGCAAUGGCAUGAGCCUAAUGACUCCUUCCUUCAGUUCUUAAAAUUGUCCAGAAUGUAACAUCUUUGCUGUUUAUGUAGUUUACAAGAUAUCACUACUUUUUUUAUUGGAAUUUGAGAUUGUUUAGGUCUUUUGGCACACUCAGAGAUUUGAAUGUCGUAGUCUACUUGCUUAUAUCAUAGAAUCACAGAAUGUUAAGGGGUAGGAAUGGCCCUUAAAGAUCAUCUAGUCCCAACCCUUGCUGCCACAGGCAGGGACACCUUCCAUUAGACCAAACUGCUCAAGGGUUUAUCUAACCUGCCUUCAACAUGGCCAGGGUUGCGGCAUCCGCAACCUCCCUGGGUAACCCCCUCCAGUGUCUCACCACCCUCACAAUAAUUUCUUCCUAAUAUCUACUCUAAAUUUCCUUUCUUUCAAUUUGUACCUAUUACUACUUAUUCCUAAUGAAGAGUUGCUCUCCAGCUUCUCUCUAGGCCCUGUUCAGGUAUUGGAAGGUUGCUAUAAGGUCUCCAUCCAAGCUUCUGUUCUUCCUUAUCCUUUAUGUCAAAUCUGGGUAUAACAGAGACGCCUUUACUGAAGAUCACUAUUGCAUAGGUGUAGCAGCUUGCCUUUGGAGAAACUCCUCAGGAUAUAGGAUACAGGAACAUUCUAAAUAAUUCUCUCAAAAAUCAUUUCUAGGAUAUCUGAUUUGGCUUGUCAUUCCUUUGUGUAUGACAGUCCCUCUUUUUUAACUAAGUUGAAUAUGAAGCUUGGUGGUUUUGUUAUUGUUUGGGUUGUUUUACCUCUACUUCUGUAAAUUAAUUUCAAACUUCCAUAAGUUUCUAAAAAUUAAGUUGAUCAGACUAUGAAGGCUGGUAGAAAGAUGACACUUUCCAUAAAAUAUCACAUCCUUACUAUUUAGUUCUUUUUCAAUUGCAAAUGCAAGAAAAUAAGUUAUGUUGGAUGAAAUGCUGUACUUAUUAUUAACAAAGAAGUAUAGUAGUUAUUGUUAUAUUUAAGUUCAGAAAAAUGUAGAUAGAUUAUUUGGUAAUUCUAUUAUUUAAAAUAAGCAUAUUAGUAUCCCUGCUACUUUGUAGGCACUCUCCAAGGUUGUGGAAGGAAAUAGGCAACCCCUCCCCCCCCAACCCAUGGCUAAUUAUUACAUGCUCAACUGUUGAUUUAUUCUGAAAUUGUGCCUUUGACUACUACUGUUAAAUGGUGACUGUAUGAUGGGGAAUAAAAUAGUGCUGAUAUCCAGAUUCCAUGUUACUGAGCUCUGUUCUAUUGGAAAAUUUUCUUUUUUUGUGUGGAUAGUUAUCUCUUCUGCAGAGGUUGGUGAUGAGAGUAGUGUUCUCAUCAUAGCUGUGACUGCAUGUUGAGUAAUAUGCCAGAAAACUUCUGACUUUUAUGAGUCAUCAAAUCUGAGUGGUGUGGUGAUCCUCUGGGCUGAUUUGGAGGGUGGAACAGGAAGAAUUUUAGAAUGUUUGUGAUCAUUCUUGAAAUGAUCCAGUAGCUUAUUUCUACUACAUCAAAUACAUCAUAUAAGUUGAGCAAAGAAAUGUUCUUACCCAUUAAAAGAGGCAGGCCAAAGCCAGAGGAGUCAGAGUCUGUAUGCUUUUUGAGGUUAAGUUUGGUUUUUGAGGAUAAUUGAGAAGGCGGAAGUUUCACCUAGAAAGAUUUUAAAGCUACUUUUCUUAUUUCUGAAGCAAAAUGCUUCCAAUCAGGUAAAGGUCAUCUAUCUCAGAGUUGCAGAGAAACUUCUAAAUGUUAAAAUGGAUACAGACUCCAAGAAAUGUUGUACUUUUUGAUAUUUCUGCAACUUUCAUGCUGCUAUCUGGUUUGUGGAAAGCCUCUGAUUGACACUUUCAGUUAUCAUGUAGUAUUUACAACCUCAAAACUUGAAUUUUCUUGUUUUCUAUUUUUAACUGCAGUAAGAACACUGACAAAAUAGCAGAGCAUGUGAGCUUUUUAAGGAUUAGAAAAGCAGUUAAGUCCUGUGUAUGAAGACAAAGUGUAUCAGUUUUAGAAAGCCAUCAAGGCUAUUCUCUGCUGAUGGACUUAGAUAGGAUAAGAUAGGUUCUGGUAAAGUUAGAAACUAUUUUAAAAAUGAUUUUUUGAGAGUAGUGCAGGCUGAGUUAGAGGCUGAGUUAGAUUACAAACUGAACGUGGUUAGGGACUGUUGAUGGUUUCUGAAAUUAAGUGGCUUGAGCUGACUGACAUCUAUUCAUCAAAAAUCUCAUUCUUACCUCCAAAAGAACAGAUGAUGAUGUCUGUGAGAAUGGUCCCUGGAGCAGGCUGUCCUGAGAACUAUGCCACAGAGAGUGCUAAUUUGCCACCUCAGAGUGAAGAGUAUUAGUUAAUUAACGUGUGUGAUCAGCAGUGUGGUGCCUGGGUUCACUGCCUGCUCCAUUCCACUGAGCAGUUUAGCCACACACAGGUAUCCUUGCUGGAAAGAGCAGCUUUCUCUGCAGGCUUCAGGCUUGCUAAUGGGCAUUGCUCAUUGAUUCAAAGGCAAGUUGUGAUUUGGUCUUGUUCAGUGGGUUUCUGCUUUCCUAGCCUUGCAUUAUAAAUUGAUGAAAGCCCUUCUGCUGGAGCACUGGCAGAACCUGGUGGCUGAAAUGGAAGGAAAAGACCAGCUUAUACCUUAUUCUCUUUCAUGCAGUCUUACUGCCAUUUUAUUAUGAAAUAAAGGCAACUUGUGCAACCUAGCCAAGUAAUCCAGUUUUGUGUGCACUGUAAAAAAUACCCUGGCACACAGUCACAAGUCUCGUUCUAUAGGAAUUUAAAGAAAAAAUUAUUUGAAUAUAUAUAUAUAUAUAUAUAUAUAUAUAUAUAUAAACAGUAGCUAAUCAAAUCCACAUCACCGAUCUUUUACUCUUGGGUGCAAUGGGUGAAUUAGAUUUGCAGCAGCCUGUAUUUGGUUUUAUGAGAACUAUAAUUCUUUAUUUCCCUACUGCACAGAAAGGACUAUUUUCCCAGAAGAGCUUAGAGAAAAAUACCAGAAAAAUAUGAAGCUGCAGUCCCAGACUUCAGCUUUUGUUCAGACUCUGACCCAGUUCCAUCUCCUGUGCUAUAGCAGUAGUUCCAGAAGGAUAUGACUUUUCUUGCCUCUGGGUGGUUUUCAGCAAAGGUUGUUCCUGAGCCAGGAAGAAGCAAAUGCUUACCUCUUGAGACUUAAUUAAUCAAUUCUUAUUACUUAGAUGGGUUCUGCAACCUGUAUUAUCAGUAUUUCUAAGUGGUGUUGGUUCUUUUUGACCAAUAAACCUAUUUACAUGUCAGUAAUUACUAUAUAAGGUGUUUUUUCAGAAACCUGCAACCAAGCAGGAGGUGCAGUGGCUCUUACAUCUGGAGGAUCAUCUCAUCUUUAUUAUUGCAAGCAUUCCAGGCAUCUUUCAGAUGUUGGUCACAGCAACAAGGAGUGAUGGGACCAAAUGCUAAGCCAUGUCUUUCUAAGUUUGGAAAGCAAAAGAAUCUCUGUGGUAGGCUGAUACAACUGCUUCUUCCUAAAUGAUUUGGAAUAGAUUGUGAAGUUUUUUGCAUUUGCAGAGCCUACCAUGUUAUUGAACAGCACCAAAGAAAAAUCUCCUGUAUCAUGAGGGGAGGGCAGGUAUUACAGAAAGCAUUCAAAAUGGUGAUCAAGAGAAAAAGCACUUCUGGAAGGGAAAGCACCUCUCUGGACCUGCAGGAGAGCUUACUAUAAGUGAAACAGAGCUAUCAAAAAGUGAAGCCACCAGACAAGUGAGAAGACAUUACAUACAACAGAGGCCAGGAGAAAGCUCAGCUGCAUAGCAACCUAGGUUUCAGAAGAACAGAAGAACAGAAGAAUGAGGCAACAUCUUCCUCCUUUUAUGCAAGGAAUCAUGAAGAUAGCCUGAAUUGCAAAAGCCCAGGAGAAUAAGAAAGGGGAAGAGAGUAAACAAAAAUAGGAUGUGAACACCUAUGACUUUCCAUAGAGUUUAUAUCCUCAGCAUAUCCAAACAGUACUGAAAAAAGGGGGAUCAAUAACAAAAAGAAAAUAAAAUACUGCAGAAAAAAGAUAGAGAGAAAAUAAUAGCCUAAGAUCACUUUUUUUUUUUUUUAAGAAAUGAAAACAUUUAGCCAAAUUGUUGGUGUCCCUGGUCAAGUGCAUUGUAUAUCAAACCUGAAGUAGUAGAGAAGCAGAAAACUUUUGUCCCAUGUAAAAUUGGUAGGACAAAGAAAAAAAAAAAAACAAAUGUGGAAAAAUAUUUUUUUAAAACAUUAAUAACAGUCUCUUUUUUCUGCAACAUGUGGUAUUUCAUGAGUAUCCUGCUUCUGCUUUUUGAGACUAAAAAGCUCUGAGAGGAAUCUGUACCCUCCAGAAGGCAAAUUCCUCCAAGGUCCUAUGAAACUUAGAAAUAAAAAUACAAGCAUCAAACGACUUCAUUCCUUCCUGCUGUCAUACAAACAUGGGUGUCUGUGUCUUAAGACAUUAAAAAUGCUGUAUUAUAUUUAUUUUUGCUUCUUAGAGAAUGAUACCCAGGUUUGUGUACACAGUGUGCUUUUUUGAUGACAUGCCAGUCUGAAGUGGCAUAUGCCUGCCUGUUGCCACACAUCCAGCUUGGUGUGGCUGGCCUUUAUUCAGAGAAUUAAAGUAGGUCUUCCAAGAUAUCCUGAACCUUCAAUUCUUGGUAACCUCAUUCUGCUAUGACUAUAGGAAAGAUAAGCACAGGUUCACUCUUUUUGUCUGAGUUAUGUCAGGACUGUUACAAAGCACCAAGGGGGAAUCACAGUUUUGCUGCUAGUGAGCAAAGAGUAGUGUUUCUCUGAAACCAUUUCUUUAUUUCUAUAGGCUUACUGCUCUUCCUAUUCUUCUUCUGUCUUCUAUUGGAGAAGGAAGAGGGAAUGAGAAGAAGAAACCUAUUGGCAGCUUUUCAUGUUAUUGUUUAUGUCCAUUGUUGAAUCAUGAUAAUGUAUUAUGGAGCAACCCUGAAUUUAUAGAAGUAAUUGGUUUUCACAUUUCACAACAACUAUCAUCAAUUUUCAUAAUUUAGUGCAUUAAUAAGUCAUCAUCUUUGGAAUGCAUUGCACCGUCCUCUCUGUCUCUCUUUACCUUUUCAUUCAAAAAGGUUUCACCUGUAUGAGAUACCUGAUACCAUAUCUCCUACUCUUCCUGCAUUACUGUAUCUCUCAGGCCAUCUUCAAAGGCAUCUACUUCAAAUGCAAACGUGAAUUUUAAAACUGAAGACAGUGUAGUAAAAAAUUACUCAAAUAAAUCUGCUUUAUUUUAUUUAGCUACUGAUUCAGCUGUUCCACUUUGCAACUGUUUGUGAUUUGUGGCCUUGAGGGUGAGGCAGUCUCCCCACAGUUUCUUGGUUAGAGAAAGAAACUGUUCAAAAGCCCUACUGUGGGCUAUUAUCCCCAAAGUUCAAGUUGAAAUCCUGACUUUCCAAACAACUUUCCUCUUUCCUGUGGAGCACAUCUUGAAUAGAUUUCUUUUGGGGGAAUUUGCAGCUCCUUCCCAAAGCACCAUCACAUUAGUAAUUUGUUAUUGAUUAGGGAAAUAUGAGCGUAUCUCCAAUCUGAAGCUUGCUUUUCUCACUCAGGUUGUUUUCUUUGUUUCUAGCAACAACACAGCAGUAGGAAAUUGUUUUAGUGGGGGUUAAGUGAGCUCUGCAGAUCAUUGUUUGACUGUUGAUCUACAGCCAUACUGUUGGGUUGAUGGGGCAUAUCCACUUAGUCUUAUGAUUUAAGGUUUCAUGCUAAAUUAAAAGUUUUAGGGGUUGUAAGUAAUUUUUAUGCACAGUACCAAAUUGAACAAACAAAAUUUUUAUUUUGCUAUUUCAUUAUCUGUUUGCAUAGAAGUGUGCAACCCUAUGUUUACCCAAAUAUAUUGAUUAUAGGCAAAUAAUCAAUCUCUUUGGGGUUUUUUGAUAAGAAAUUGCCAGAAAGCUAAAGUAAAAAUAUUCUUAGUAUAAACAUAUUGACAUAAAAUUAAUUUUCUUCUGUCAGUACUGUAAGUCAUCUAGCAUGCUUCCAGUAGUUGUAACAAUACUGAGCUCUUUCAGAAACAAGUGUAAUAAAAAUGAGAAAUUAAGUAAAAA
Molecule: non-coding RNA, 8075 nt
Organism: Lonchura striata (white-rumped munia)
Lineage: Eukaryota; Metazoa; Chordata; Aves; Passeriformes; Estrildidae
Source: RefSeq, a predicted model, not a curated record